ACACUCCUGCGGGAGGCAGCAGUGGGGAAUAUUGGACAAUGGGCGCAAGCCUGAUCCAGCCAUGCCGCGUGAGUGAUGAAGGCCCUAGGGUUGUAAAGCUCUUUCACCGGUGAAGAUAAUGACGGUAACCGGAGAAGAAGCCCCGGCUAACUUCGUGCCAGCAGCCGCGGUAAUACGAAGGGGGCUAGCGUUGUUCGGAUUUACUGGGCGUAAAGCGCACGUAGGCGGACUAUUAAGUCAGGGGUGAAAUCCCGGGGCUCAACCCCGGAACUGCCUUUGAUACUGGUAGUCUUGAGUUCGGGAGAGGUGAGUGGAAUUCCGAGUGUAGAGGUGAAAUUCGUAGAUAUUCGGAGGAACACCAGUGGCGAAGGCGGCUCACUGGCUCGAUACUGACGCUGAGGUGCGAAAGCGUGGGGAGCAAACAGGAUUAGAUACCCUAGUAGUCCCAU
RNAcentral lists this ribosomal RNA (449 nucleotides) under uncultured organism. RNAcentral describes it as "partial 16S ribosomal RNA". It matches the Rfam family "Bacterial small subunit ribosomal RNA", at positions 333 to 798 of the family's 1533-position model. The record is from RNAcentral.